This 620-nucleotide ribosomal RNA is filed under the name uncultured Stereum. RNAcentral describes it as "eukaryotic LSU rRNA". The stretch from base 211 to 363 matches the Rfam family "5.8S ribosomal RNA". The record is from RNAcentral. Lineage: Eukaryota; Fungi; Basidiomycota; Agaricomycetes; Russulales; Stereaceae.
GGUGACCUGCGGAAGGAUCAUUAAUGAAAUUAUGACUGGGGUUGUAGCUGGCCCAUAAAACGGCAUGUGCACGCUCCUUUCACAAUCCACACACACCUGUGCACCUUCGCGGGGGUCCUCUUUCCUUUUGGGAAAAAAGGUCCCGUCCCUUUACACACCCCUUGUAUGUCUUAAAAAUGGCUACUCCAUGUAAUAAAACGCAUCCUAAACAACUUUCAACAACGGAUCUCUUGGCUCUCGCAUCCAUGAAAAACGCAACGAAAUGGCAUAAGUAAUGGGAAUUGCAAAAUUCCAUGAAUCAUCCAAUCCUUGAACGCACCUUGGGCCCUUUGGUAUUCCCAAAGGGCACCUGGUUGAAUGUCCUGAAAUUCCCAACCCUCCUUGCUUGUUUUGGCGAACGUAAGGAUUGGACUUGGAAGCUUUGCCGGGCUGCUUCCUGUCGCUCGGCUCCUCUCAAAUGCAUUAAUGCCUCCUGGUGCCACGUGCCGCUCCGUGUGAUUAUUAACUACGCUGUGGUGCGCCUGCCUCCUUGGAACCGCCUCCGAACCUCCGAAAGGCAGCUUCCACAACUUGACUCAAUCAGUGGACUACCCGCUUAACUUAGCUUCAUAGCCGAAGAA